GGCUCCUGAGGUCUGAAAAAACGACAGCAGGAUUCAGCGUUCCUCUGAUAACCACUCAGAAAAUAGAAUGUGAAGAAGAAGGAGGAAGGGAAGAUGCGGGGCCAGCCAUCAGAAUGCUCCCUGUGGCUCCAUGGAUGCCUAGAAAUGCUGGUCACUUAAAGGGCACAGAGAAAGGGACUAGAAAAUCCUCCGGAUGGGCCUUCAAAGGGUGAGUCGCUUUGGGAUGCCAGUUUCUUCCCUGCAGAAGGAAGGAUGAUUGUUUGUCAAUAUUUAACAUAAUUGGACCUGGGUCCUCUUCUGAACUGCCAGACACCUCUGAGGAACCACCAAGAUUCUAGGAACAUGCCUGUGAGCACUAUUGCCUAAUGCUCUUAUCUAUGCUUAUCAUAGCAGUCACUGAGCAGGACUCCCAAAGGCCACCGCUGCUGUCCAGCACCCCUCUCAAUGCAGCUACUCCCAGUGGGUUGUGGAACCACUCUCUCCUGUGUCUUCAAGUAUAGAGGUGGAAACAGCUGUCUGCUGUUGCUUGCACCAAGUUCUGCAGGCUUAACAGGAAACAUGACUGGGAGGCCUCAGGAAACUACAAUCAUGGCGGAAGGUGAAAGGAAAGAAACACCUCUUACCAUGGCAGAAUAGCAGAGAGAGAAAGCGAAGGGGUGUAGGCAGAGGAGCCUGAAUCUAAUCCUGUGUCCUUAUAAGGAAAGACAGAGGAAAAUUUGAGAAAGAAGAGAAAGGCAUGUGAAGAUGGAGACGGAGACUGGAGUCACACAGCCACAAGCCAAAGAACACCUGAAGCUCCCAGAAGUUGGGAGAGGCAAAUAAUUCUCCCCUGAAGACUUCAGAAAGAACAUGCGCCUACUGACACCUUGAUUUCAGACUUCUGGCCUCCAGAACUGUGAGAGAAUAAAUGCCUAUGGUUCUAAGCCACCAAGUUUGUGGUCAUUCGUUACAGCAGCCCUAGGAAACUAAUAUAGGCGUUAAGUGAACAAAGACCACAGAAUGCUCUUUGAUAACCCUGCCAGUCAUGCAGUCCCAACCAGUAUGAUCUCAUCCCACACAAAGGGCCGAAGAUCUAUCAUGCAUUUUGUUUUGCCAGCUUCUUCAGAGUUGGCUUUCAGGAAAGAACUACAUCUUGUUUGAUUGAAAAUAUUUUGAAAAAUCAUUCACCAUCUCUGAUGGUAUUUAUGGCUCAACAUUCUUUAUAGCAAGAGGAUGAAUACUAAAUUAGAAGCUUAUUUCAAAAUUGUGGUGGGCCUGCCUACCACACACAGACAGGGAGAACUAACUUCUUCAAGAAAGAAUAAACAGAGGGAGAUAGCCAAGGGAUCCGUUCUGAGAGAUUUUAUUUCCUUAAGCAAAAGUGGCCCUGGCUUGGACAUUGCAGGAAGAUUGAAAUGCCAUCCUUGUGCCAAUAAGACAAAAGAGGCAGCCCAUAUUCGUCGGGGUUUUGGGUUUGAGGUAUGAUCCUAUGAUAAGACAGGUAAUAUCCUAUUAUAAAUAGCCUAAAAGGGAAAAAGGGAGAAAAGGAGAAAACCACAACAUCAAAACUUCACAUUUACUUUAGGAAGUCAAAGUAAAUCCAGAGAUCAGAGAACCUGGCAUAGAUCUUGUUAACAUUUUGAAAUCAGUUUGUCUCCAAUAGUAGUCCCAAAAUGUAAGUAUUUAAAAAAAAUUCUUCUGAGGCAAUUGCUUCCCUCCCACAAACCACUUAACAGUACAAGCUUCUUAGUUUUAACUUCAAACAUAAUGUGACAAAAAUGUAUAUUUCAAGGACAAA
Molecule: non-coding RNA, 1777 nt
Organism: Chlorocebus sabaeus (green monkey)
Lineage: Eukaryota; Metazoa; Chordata; Mammalia; Primates; Cercopithecidae
Source: RefSeq, a predicted model, not a curated record